This 19-nucleotide non-coding RNA is filed under the name Rattus norvegicus (Norway rat). Lineage: Eukaryota; Metazoa; Chordata; Mammalia; Rodentia; Muridae. The record is from RNAcentral.
UUCAGAUAUGAUGGAACUC